CCCUUAGAUGUUCUGGGCCGCACGCGCGCUACACUGAUACGCUCAACGAGCUCCUUGGCCGAAAGGUCCGGGUAAUCUUUGAAAUCGUAUCGUGAUGGGGAUAGAACAUUGCAAUUUUUGUUCUUCAACGAGGAAUGCCUAGUAGGCGCAAGUCAUCAGCUUGCGUCGAUUACGUCCCUGCCCUUUGUACACACCGCCCGUCGCUCCUACCGAUUGGGUGUGCUGGUGAAAUGUUCGGAUCGGCCGUUUGUCGCGGUUUCCGCGGCUCGUGGCUGAGAAGUUCAUUAAACCCUCCCACCUAGAGGAAGGAGAAGUCGUAACA
Molecule: ribosomal RNA, 322 nt
Filed under: uncultured eukaryote
Lineage: Eukaryota
Description: partial 18S ribosomal RNA
Rfam family: Eukaryotic small subunit ribosomal RNA
Source: RNAcentral